AUCCUCAUUGGGAACCACACCCAAGGGCUCCUCAAAGUAAGAAAAUCAAGAACACCACACACACAAAAAAAAAAAAAGCAAACUUGUUAGAAGCUUAGAGCUUCUAUUUUGUGUUGAUCUAAGGCAUGAAAGUGGAGUUUUAUUAUAUACUGAGCUUAAGGGAAGUGAUUUGGCACACACCGACACCCAAUUAAGAGGCUCACAUGAUGAUGCUAUGGUUAUGGACCCCCUGAGAUAAGCAUUGUUUAUACCAGCUUCUGCAAAUCAAUGGAAGCAUUAUCUUUCAUUCAAUGAGGUUUCAACUGUACAAAGCUAGAUCUUUUCUGCUCUCUCCACCUAUUUAAACCUACUUAUCAGCUCCUCAUUAAUACUUUGCCUCAACCAAGAAAUGCUCAUACUUGAGGGCAAGAACAAAUGCAAGAACAAAUGCAAACAUCGAUCAUUCUGAUUACCUUUUCUUUUGUACUAUAUUAUGUUGGGAUUAGGAUUGUAAAAAAAGAAAAUUCUUCUAUUGCUGUCUGACCUCAAAGUCAAUAUAUUUGAAGGAUCUUGAAGAAUAAAGAUAAAUUACAAUGUUGAGG
This 581-nucleotide unclassified non-coding RNA is filed under the name Hevea brasiliensis (rubber tree). The record is from RNAcentral. Lineage: Eukaryota; Viridiplantae; Streptophyta; Magnoliopsida; Malpighiales; Euphorbiaceae.